UACGAAGGGGGCGAGCGUUGUUCGGAGUUACUGGGCGUAAAGGGCGCGUAGGCGGCGCUCCAAGUUAGGCGUGAAAGCCCUGGGCUCAACCUGGGAAUAGCGCUUAAGACUGGGGUGCUCGAGUGCGGAAGAGGUGAGUGGAAUUCCCAGUGUAGAGGUGAAAUUCGUAGAUAUUCGGAAGAACACCAGUGGCGAAGGCGACUUACUGGACGACUGUUGACGCUGAGGUGCGAAAGCGUGGGGAGCAAACAGG
RNAcentral lists this ribosomal RNA (253 nucleotides) under uncultured bacterium. RNAcentral's name for it is "partial 16S ribosomal RNA". It matches the Rfam family "Bacterial small subunit ribosomal RNA", at positions 524 to 776 of the family's 1533-position model. The record is from RNAcentral.